UCCCUGAGGGUAUUUCCCACUAUCAACCAAGCCUCACAGGGCAGCUGAACUGCCUGCCCAUCUUCCUCCUCUUUAUACAGAAAACAGACAACCAUCCCACUCACUUGCCUGGGCUCAAUGAAAAGCUCUCUCUGGGUUCUUAAGUUUAUCCAUCUUGAGACUGUAAAAUCUCUUUCCUGUAAUAUUUCUCCAUUUCAGUCUUCUCUUCUGUAACAGAAAAUUAAAAGCAAUUCCCCACACCUGCCUGAAGUGGAUCGAAGAUGGCAUGAGAGCAUUCUGCAGGUUCUCUGAGAAUUGGAAAAGGGAGGCAGAAGGAAAGAGAGCAGAACGAAUGCAGAAUUGCCUUAAGAAAAAAGAGAAUAUAACUGCAGAAUUAUUUCAGAGUGAACAUAAAUAUUUAAUCUUUGAUAAAACAGGUGAAAAUUUAACGUUCUAGUGCAAUUGCAAAGAACGCUUAUUAAGUACUUGAAAAGAAAGAAGAUUUAGGUUUCCUGAAAGAACGACGGACUGAAAAGUUCUUAGAGCUAAAAUUCGAGAUGCCAUAAAACUACUGUUAAAAUAUGAUUUCUAAUUUCAAUCUUUCAGGGCAAAAUCAAGCUUUGAUUCACUUGUAAGCCAGAUCCCACGCACUCCUCCUCCCAAGGAGGGCCUAGGCAGCGGCAACCUGUCCACGUGUCGAGGCUAUCCUGCACCACCAGAGCCCGUCUCCUGACCUUCGAUGUCGUGAUGAGCGAGCGCAGCUCCAUCAACCUUGGGCAACGAGAUGCAGCCGCGUGCGGCAGCCUGGCACUGCCCCGAGCAUGCUCAGUCCCGUCCUGACCCACUUCUGCAGGUCUGCGCUCGGGGCAGGAGGUCGCAAGCGCUACUUUGUUUUGUUUGCCAGGGAUAGAGAGAAGGAGAAGAGAAACUGGGAGUCGUUGAAAGCCUCCUCUCUCCUUGACAGCAAUCCCUGACCCGGCGGCGGAACAUGCCCAGUCUGGCUGCACGAGCCACCAGGAGCGUUCGUGUGUAAGGUCCACCUUUCCGGGUUUUGCAGCAACCGAAGGAGAAGGGGAGGUACCGGAGUAAAAGGGUCGAAGUGGGCGUGGCCAAGGGGCGGGACGAGAGGAGCCAGGGAGGAGGAGACCGGUCUCGGUCCCCGAAAUUGACUGUCUCUCGCAAGUCUUAAAAAAGGAAAAAAAGGCUGCUUACAUUGCAGGGUAGGGCUGGCAAACUUCUGUUCUGCAGGCGUUCUUUAUAAAUUUAGAAUAACCUAUGUUUCCUAUUAAAAAAGCAUCCUGUUGUUCAUUAGAGAAAACUUAGAAACUACAAAUAAUCAAAAAAGAAGACAACUUAAGAAUCCCUGGAAACCUCCCAGUCAGAAGCCACCAGUGAACGUCCUGCCGUGUUUUCUUCCAGUCUCUUGUGUGUGGGCUUUAGACUAGACAGCAGAGACACCCGGGGAGGCCUGCGAAGCUUUUGAUUGCAACGCGGCUUGACAGACGGCCUUGGAGACGGGAUGAAAUCUUAUUCUGGUGAAAGAAGAAGGCCCAGGCGAUCCCAUUCCUAUGCUGUGAAUCUGAAUGGCCUCAAUCAAACAGCCAGAGAGAUGAAGACUGCGGGAUGAUUUCGACAUUUUGAAGUAUUAGUUAAGUAGGCAGUUGCUUUUCAUUUCAACAAUAAUAAGAAUGUAUAUUUCAGGCAUAGAAAAUAGUCCCCAUAAACUUUACUCAUUUCCACCAACAGCCCCGAGUCCUCUGACAGACCAGAUUU
Equus asinus (donkey) is the source of this 1752-nucleotide long non-coding RNA. NCBI's taxonomy places the organism in Eukaryota, Metazoa, Chordata, Mammalia, Perissodactyla, Equidae. The record is from Ensembl.